UGCAUGUUUAAUUGGGGGUUUAUGACUGGAUUCUAGCCGAAUUCAGUAGGCUCACCACUAAAUUAAUGUUCGGUUGAUUAUAAUGACUUAUUAUGGUCCGCAUGGACUAGGCCUUAUUUCGGCAAAAGGCAGCAUAGGCAUUUCCUUCCCUCACCACUGAAUGGUAAUUCAGCCAAGGUGGAAUAAGAUUUUAUUUCCAUUUUCAAAUUUUGCCCCUCACCUUUCUAAAACCCUCCUUCUUCAACCCAACAGCUCCUCUCACCCAGCCUCUCUUGCUUUCUUCGCCUCCGGCCACUUUCAGUUCUCCGCUAUUUCAUGUCAGUCAAUUGAAGUCACCAGUUCCUCCGUUCUUCUCGACAGCCUCUGUCUUGUUUAUGCGUUCAGUUUAGGGGUGAAGCAGUACAACUAGCAUGAUGUGGAGUCAGGUAUUCAUGGAACUGUGACUGAAAGUUUUCAUCAGUGGGGUAUUCCACUUGAACUAAUUUAAAUGAAUGGUUAAAGGUUUUUUGAACUGUGGUCUCCAUAUAAGUGUAUUAUGGUUCGAGUUUUUUUUUUUUUUUUCUUGUUGGACAUAUUUUCUAUGGAGAGAGCACAUUAACGAGGAAUUACUAUUUGUGGUCCUACCAACUCGUAGGAAGGGUGCCUCUGUUUUACUUGGUGAAUAUGAUCUAUGUCUGUAAGAGGAGUUUGUUACUGGUUUGUAUUUUUGAAUGUGAUCAUCAGUUUUUCUGUUUGUCUGAUUUCAUCUUAUAAAUUCACUAUUUAAUGGAA
Long non-coding RNA from Gossypium arboreum, 771 nucleotides. RefSeq lists it as uncharacterized. The record is from RefSeq and is a predicted model, not a curated record. Lineage: Eukaryota; Viridiplantae; Streptophyta; Magnoliopsida; Malvales; Malvaceae. The transcript has 2 exons.